Long non-coding RNA from Ctenopharyngodon idella (grass carp), 2667 nucleotides. RefSeq lists it as uncharacterized. The record is from RefSeq and is a predicted model, not a curated record. The transcript has 2 exons. Lineage: Eukaryota; Metazoa; Chordata; Actinopteri; Cypriniformes; Xenocyprididae.
UAUUGUCAUACAGCAUAUGGGUGUUUCUUCUAAUUCAAAAGUUAGCUAAUUAAAACUAGCAUGUUAACUAUACUAUUAACUAUUAACUUAGCUUUUCUUUUUGUAAUAUGAAGGUCAUAUUAAAAUUGUCUUGGAAACUUCAUUUAUUUUUGCUACUUUUCAAAUGUCUUUUAUUUAUUUUAUUCAUUUACUCUUUUCCCAGACCCAGAUUUUUACUCUUAAAGUAUUAAAAUACAUAAUUCAAAUCUAAAAUGGUCCUUUUUGUCAUUUAAAAAUACCAACUUUAAGGGUAACAUAUAUUAUUCAUUGUUAGUUCAUGUUAACUAAUGUAGAUUGUAAUGUUAAAAAAUGGAACUUUAUUGUAAAGUGUUACCAGCAAAAUAGUAAAAUAAAUAAUUUAAUUAUCGUGUGAAAAAUCAAAAAUUUAAUCUGUAUCUCAGGUAGAUGUUAUUUCAACAACAAGCAAUUUUUCAUUUUGUUUAUUUUUUAAAAGUUGGCUGUCAUCUGUAACAUAACAUUUUAAAUUAAACUUAUUAUCUAUUGACUGUGAACCUGUGAAUCAUUACUGUUUUUUAGUACUGUCUGUCUGAUGUCAGUCUGUCUAUCUAAUUAAGAUGACUCAACUCAAAAAGUAUAUUGUGACGAAAUAACCUUGACCACAGUGCCAUGACAGUGUUUCUAAGUAUCUUUAUACGCAUGUAAGUGGUGUACGAAAGGCGGGUGUACGGAAGUGUGUGACUGUACGUAAAUUUAUGAAUGAUGUGAUCUUUCUGUCAUUGAGUAUGAAAAAAACAGACUUCCUUCUCUACGGUCAGAGCAGCUGCACCAAAACCAAACUCAGUCUCAUACACACACACACACAUACAUGCUUCCAGGAUGCAGUAAAUCUUUUUAGUGAAACACCAAAUCCACAUUUCUGGAUAAUACAAACUGAUAUUUUGAUUUGAAUUAAGAUCGUAUGAAGCUUUUCACUGAAGCCUGAAUCAUAUGCUAAUAAACAGUUUCCAAAUCUGUCAGUGAAAUAAAGAGCCUCUUGUUCGCUAUAAUACCAGCAUGCCACAGGAAGGCUACGGCUGAGUUGUGUUCAGUGUAAGUUGUUUACCUUAAAUGUGUUUUCUGCUGCUAUUAGAUAGUAAGAACAUGUUUCAGCAGAUAAAUUAAAGUACAGUUGUGUAUGAAAUAUUAUCUCUCUUUUUUUUAUUAGAAUGUCAGUGAGUUCAGAUAGCAGUUGCUCAACAUGAACUCAUAUGCUCUAAAUGAGUGUGUGCAUGUGUGUACCCUGUCAGGUUUCUGACCUGGACAUGUAGCUGUAAUCGCUGUGAUUCAUUAGAGGCAUGUGCACAAAUUCCACACACAUUCUCUCUACCAGAAAGCCUAUUAACUUCGAAAAGGUGGAGCGAUGAGGGAGAGAGGGGGAUGGGGUUAGGAAGAAAAAGGAGGUGAUUGUUGGGGAGUUAAAGAGAGAGAGAGUUGCUGUAGCAAUCGAAUGAGAGCAAAGGAAAGAGGAUACCAGAGAUUUUAAGAUAAAACUUUUUGGACUCCCCUUUUAAAUAGAAAACAUGUUUGUGUGUGUACGUCCCAUCAUCCUUCUCCUCUUCAUCAACUUUCUCGACCUUUCAUCGUCAUCAUCAUCAUCAUCAUCAUCAUCUCAGAAUGCCACUAGACCCCGUUCCCAUUCCUCUGAAGAAACAGAAGAUUACAAUGUACUCGAAGACACUACCACUGAGCCUCCCAGCUCAUCCUCCACUACCCCUGAAGACAGAGAACUCGAUUUUUGCGACUACAGCAUGUGUAUUGAGUAUCAGAAAACCUGCGCAGACCUUGCAGAAGGCUGCCUCUGCCCGGGGUUGGAAAGUUUCCAUCCCCCGAGUCCACCGUUAAUCUCGAAUCUGACUCAACAGGGUGACAAAGGGGUUGUGGUGUACUGGUGUGCUCCGACCUCCAUUGUCACCCACUACAAAGUCUUGGUGAAAGGCAAGGACAGAGUUAUUCAUUGGGAGACAGAGGUGGAAGAGAAAAAAAGGGCAAUAGCAUUGCGGGAUGUGGCGGCUGGUGCGCUCGUGUGUGUAGUAGCGGUGAAUAAGUUCGGCAACAGCACAGAGACGUGUAACACAUUUGAACCCCAACGUCCAGGCUCUGGACUUGCGCUGAAGCUGGGCAUAAUUGGAGGUGUGGUGGGACUCAUAGUUCUGCUGAUUCUGGCUCUGCUGCUGUGGAGACACAAAAAACGGCGGGAAUCUUCAGAGACAAGGGGAGUUCUGUAACAGAGAGGAAGGAGCGUGCGUGUGUGUGGGGCCAUAAAUAUGCACUUAAUCUUGGAAUGCAUGAUAGGAGUAAAUGAAUGACUGUGGACUGAUAGCCCACUGUGAGCAUGCUGGAUAGAGGGGGAGUGUAUUAAUGACUCAAUGAAAGAGGGGUGCAGAGAAGGUGGACGAAUGACUCAGCACAUUCUUCUCAUUUGGUCGUCAGUAGUGUCUAACAAUGUGAUUUUGGACAGGCACAAAUUGCAGACUGCUGGUGUGCUGACUCUAAUCAUGGGCACCAUUUCAAGUCCAAUUCCCAAAUCACCAACACACUUUAAACUUGUGUAUGUCUUGUGUAUGUUUAAACUUGAGGUUUUGCUACAAAAAAAUAUGAAGCUUACAAAAUAAUAAAAAAUAUUUUUUA